This 306-nucleotide ribosomal RNA is filed under the name uncultured euryarchaeote. RNAcentral's name for it is "bacterial SSU rRNA". It matches the Rfam family "Archaeal small subunit ribosomal RNA", at positions 558 to 865 of the family's 1478-position model. Lineage: Archaea; Methanobacteriati; Methanobacteriota. The record is from RNAcentral.
CUUAACUGUGCGGAUUCCGGGGACACUACUAGACUUGAGACCGGGAGAGAUUAGAGGUACUUGCAGGGGAGCGGUGAAAUGUUGUAAUCCUGCAGGGACCACCAGUGGCGAAGGCGUCUAAUCAUAACGGCUCUGACGGUGAGGAACGAAACCCUGGGGCGCAAACGGGAUUAGAUACCCCGGUAGUCCAGGGCGUAAACGCUGCUGACUUGGUGUUGGAGAUCCUACGAGGGUGUCCAGUGCUGGCGCGAAGGUAUUAAGUCAGCCGCCUGGGGAGUACGGUCGCAAGACUGAACUCAAAUGAAU